CCUACGGGAGGCAGCAGUGGGGAAUAUUGCGCAAUGGGCGAAAGCCUGACGCAGCGACGCCGCGUGAGGGAUGAAGGUCUUCGGAUCGUAAACCUCUGUCAGCAGGGAAGAACGGUCACUGUGCUAAUCAGCAGUGAAUUGACGGUACCUGCAAAGGAAGCACCGGCUAACUCCGUGCCAGCAGCCGCGGGAAUACGGAGGGUGCGAGCGUGAAUCGGAAGUACUGGGCGUAAAGCGCGCGUAGGCGGUAGGUCAAGUCAAGGGUGAAAUCCCCGCGCUCACCGUGGGAACUGCCUGUGAAACGGGCAAACUGGAGUGUGUGAGAGGAUAGUGGAAUUGCAGGUGUAGGAGUGAAAGCCGUAGAUAUCUGGAGGAACAUCAGUGGCGAAGGCGACUAUCUGGCACAUAACUGACGCUGAGGAGCGAAAGCGUGGGUAGCAAACAGGAGUAGAUACCCCAGUAGUC
Molecule: ribosomal RNA, 465 nt
Filed under: uncultured bacterium
Lineage: Bacteria
Description: partial 16S ribosomal RNA
Rfam family: Bacterial small subunit ribosomal RNA
Source: RNAcentral